This 254-nucleotide ribosomal RNA is filed under the name uncultured bacterium. Its description in RNAcentral is "partial 16S ribosomal RNA". It matches the Rfam family "Bacterial small subunit ribosomal RNA", at positions 524 to 777 of the family's 1533-position model. The record is from RNAcentral.
UACGUAGGUGGCAAGCGUUGUCCGGAUUUACUGGGCGUAAAGAGCGCGCAGGCGGUCGCUCAAGUCGCGUGUGAAAGCCCCCGGCUCAACUGGGGAGGGUCACGCGAUACUGAUCGACUGGAAGGCAGGAGAGGGUAGUGGAAUUCCCGGUGUAGUGGUGAAAUGCGUAGAUAUCGGGAGGAACACCAGUGGCGAAGGCGACUACCUGGCCUGUUCUUGACGCUGAGGCGCGAAAGCUAGGGGAGCAAACGGGG